GGGGAUAUAGAUAGCUAAGGCCACACAAUUGGCAAAAAUAGUCAGUAAAAUAAUUAUUUCAAAUGAUUUCCAUUCGACGAUGCUGAUGCAUGCCCUCCGGAUGGGAUUUUUCAGUGUUAAACACAGCAGUGCCCGGGGAGGACGCGUAGCUGUCGUGGUACCCUGUUUUUUCUGUUUCCCGUACUGCUGCCGUUUUCUCUGCGUGGAGCUAGCUGUGGAUAUUG
Molecule: long non-coding RNA, 224 nt
Filed under: Gallus gallus (chicken)
Lineage: Eukaryota; Metazoa; Chordata; Aves; Galliformes; Phasianidae
Source: RNAcentral